GCGGCACGCCUUAUACAUGCAAGUCGAACGAAGUAGCAAUACUUAGUGGCAGACGGGUGAGUAACAUGUAGGUAUCUUCCCUUUGGUGAGGAAUAACACGAGGAAACUUGUGCUAAUACCUCAUAAGUCUUAACGGAGAAAGCUUUAUGCGCCGAAGGAUGAGCCUGCACUUGAUUAGUUUGUUGGUGGGGUAAUGGCCUACCAAGACUUUGAUCUAUAGCUGAUCUGAGAGGAUGAUCAGCCACAUUGGGACUGAGACACGGCCCAAACUCCUACGGGAGGCAGCAGUAGGGAAUAUUGCACAAUGGAGGAAACUCUGAUGCAGCGAUGCCGCGUGAGUGAAGAAGGCCUUUGGGUUGUAAAGCUCUUUCGUCGGGGAAGAAAAUGACUGUACCCGAAUAAGAAGGUCCGGCUAACUUCGUGCCAGCAGCCGCGGUAAUACGAAGGGACCUAGCGUAGUUCGGAAUUACUGGGCUUAAAGAGUUCGUAGGUGGUUAAAAAAGUUGGUGGUGAAAUCCCAGAGCUUAACUCUGGAACUGCCAUCAAAACUUUUUAGCUAGAGUAUGAUAGAGGAAAGCAGAAUUUCUAGUGUAGAGGUGAAAUUCGUAGAUAUUAGAAAGAAUACCAAUUGCGAAGGCAGCUUUCUGGAUCAUUACUGACGCUGAGGAACGAAAGCAUGGGUAGCGAAGAGGAUUAGAUACCCUCGUAGUCCAUGCCGUAAACGAUGUGUGUUAGACGUUGGAAAUUUAUUUUCAGUGUCGCAGCGAAAGCAUUAAACACACCGCCUGGGGAGUACG
This 797-nucleotide ribosomal RNA is filed under the name uncultured Pelagibacteraceae bacterium. Its description in RNAcentral is "bacterial SSU rRNA". It matches the Rfam family "Bacterial small subunit ribosomal RNA", at positions 39 to 884 of the family's 1533-position model. Lineage: Bacteria; Pseudomonadati; Pseudomonadota; Alphaproteobacteria; Candidatus Pelagibacterales; Candidatus Pelagibacteraceae. The record is from RNAcentral.